UGGGGAAUAUUGGACAAUGGGCGCAAGCCUGAUCCAGCAAUACCGCGUGUGUGAAGAAGGCCUUAGGGUUGUAAAGCACUUUCAAUUGGGAAGAAAAGCAUCUGGUUAAUACCCGGGUGUUCUGACGGUACCUUUAGAAGAAGCACCGGCUAACUCCGUGCCAGCAGCCGCGGUAAUACGGAGGGUGCAAGCGUUAAUCGGAAUCACUGGGCGUAAAGCGCACGCAGGCGGCCUGUUAAGUCAGAUGUGAAAGCCCCGGGCUCAACCUGGGAACUGCAUUUGAUACUGGCAGGCUAGAGUAUGGGAGAGAGAAGUGGAAUUCCACAUGUAGCGGUGAAAUGCGUAGAUAUGUGGAGGAACAUCAGUGGCGAAGGCGACUUCUUGGCCCAAUACUGACGCUCAGGUGCGAAAGCGUGGGGAGCAAACAGG
This 429-nucleotide ribosomal RNA is filed under the name uncultured Gammaproteobacteria bacterium. Its description in RNAcentral is "bacterial SSU rRNA". It matches the Rfam family "Bacterial small subunit ribosomal RNA", at positions 355 to 776 of the family's 1533-position model. Lineage: Bacteria; Pseudomonadati; Pseudomonadota; Gammaproteobacteria. The record is from RNAcentral. RNAcentral also lists the same sequence under 1 other name.